UGAGGAAUAUUGGUCAAUGGGGGCAACCCUGAACCAGCCAAGUCGCGUGAAGGAUGAAGGUCUUAUGGAUUGUAAACUUCUUUUAUACAGGAAUAAAUUGGGGGACGUGUCCCCUUUUGCAUGUACUGUAUGAAUAAGGAUCGGCUAACUCCGUGCCAGCAGCCGCGGUAAUACGGAGGAUCCGAGCGUUAUCCGGACUUAUUGGGUUUAAAGGGUGCGCAGGCGGGAUGUUAAGUCGGCGGUGUAAUUUUGCAGCUCAACUGUAAAAGUGCCUUCGAUACUGGCUUCCUUGAGUGUGGAUGAAGUAGGCGGAAUUUGUGGUGUAGCGGUGAGAUGCUUAGAUAUCACGAGGAACUCCGAUUGCGCAGGCAGCUUACUAAGCCACAACUGACGCUCAUGCACGAAGGCGUGG
Molecule: ribosomal RNA, 412 nt
Filed under: uncultured bacterium
Lineage: Bacteria
Description: bacterial SSU rRNA
Rfam family: Bacterial small subunit ribosomal RNA
Source: RNAcentral